GCGGCCGCCAUGGCUGGAUGCGGCCCCAGCGCCUGCCCAUCCUCCCGCUGCCGGUCACGGCCAGCGCUGGUUUUAGCUCCCGCUCCGUGUGGAUCAGCCCCGGGGCGCCCGCCCGGGUGCCCGCAGUUUGGCCACCUUCCAUCCGAUGGAGCAAUGUACCUGGUGGGCUGACUGAGGCUUGCAUCACCCUAAACCAGAUUGCAUCUGCAAUCAGCUGGAAGUGACUACAUGCCUGAACUGACAAAUGAUGCUGUGGAAACACGGAUCUCUGGAGCAAGAUGCUUUUCCUGUAUCCUGUCUCUUUAUUGCCUGAUCCCCUGGAAGACGCAAGAGUGAGAAUCAGUGGCAUGUCCUUACCCUGCAAACACUCUGAGAACUGCUUUGACAUCCAAUGGAACCAAAUAGUGUGAUGUGGCCACAGCAAGCUCCUGCUCUUUCUACCAAGGUACAACGGCUCUGUGAUCCAAAGGAGUGGUGCUUGAACCUCCCUCUGCUCAGCUGUGUUCUUUUCUCUGACUGUAACAGCACUGUUUCUUUCCAACACACAAUGUUCAUGCAAAAAUGCAGAUUAAAGCAGGUUUCCUACUUCAAUCUUAAGGAAUUAAGGAAAAUUAAGGGAAGGUGAGCUAGAUCACUGUGAGGAUAGUUGCCUCCUGUUGUGGAAUAGAAGGAAACCCAGUGCCAUGCUCCCUCCCAUUAGGUCUGAUACAACUGCUGUAUGAUCAAGAGACAUACAGCAAGUCUCAAAAUCAACCAUAAACCUAUAGGUCAGGCAAUCAGUGACUUGACAUUUCUCAUUGCAGAGUGAUAGUUUCAUGCCUUUAAUCUGCAUCACUGCAGGCAGUGUGUUACUGAAUUCAAUGAGGGCUGGAUCCCACUAUGAAUUUCAUUGUUUUCUACAAGUCGAUUAUAAAGAGAAACCUUUGAUAUCUAUUAAUUAUGUGUCUCUGAGUGAAAGGCUAUCGUAUGUAUAUAUGUAUUUCAUAACAGGAAGUGUAACAAACAUCUAUUUUUAUUACAUUAAUAA
Long non-coding RNA from Melopsittacus undulatus (budgerigar), 1027 nucleotides. RefSeq lists it as uncharacterized. The record is from RefSeq and is a predicted model, not a curated record. The transcript has 3 exons. Lineage: Eukaryota; Metazoa; Chordata; Aves; Psittaciformes; Psittaculidae.